RNAcentral lists this ribosomal RNA (425 nucleotides) under uncultured bacterium. Its description in RNAcentral is "bacterial SSU rRNA". It matches the Rfam family "Bacterial small subunit ribosomal RNA", at positions 355 to 772 of the family's 1533-position model. The record is from RNAcentral.
UGGGGAAUUUUGGACAAUGGGGGCAACCCUGAUCCAGCCAUGCCGCGUGUGCGAAGAAGGCCUUCGGGUUGUAAAGCACUUUCGGCCGGAACGAAAUCGCGCGGGUGAACAUCCCGCGUGGAUGACGGUACCGGAAGAAGAAGCACCGGCUAACUACGUGCCAGCAGCCGCGGUAAUACGUAGGGUGCGAGCGUUAAUCGGAAUUACUGGGCGUAAAGCGUGCGCAGGCGGCGUCGCAAGUCAGGCGUGAAAGCCCCGGGCUUAACCUGGGAAUGGCGCUUGAAACUACGAUGCUGGAGUAUGGCAGAGGGAGGUGGAAUUCCACGUGUAGCGGUGAAAUGCGUAGAUAUGUGGAGGAACACCGAUGGCGAAGGCAGCCUCCUGGGCCAAUACUGACGCUCAUGCACGAAAGCGUGGGGAGCAAA